This is a long non-coding RNA of Pseudophryne corroboree (corroboree frog), 786 nucleotides long. RefSeq lists it as uncharacterized. NCBI's taxonomy places the organism in Eukaryota, Metazoa, Chordata, Amphibia, Anura, Myobatrachidae. The transcript has 4 exons. The record is from RefSeq and is a predicted model, not a curated record.
AUCACACACUGGCACAUCACACAGCUGUGCUCUACCAGAAGCCUACAAGGUGUAUGCCGUAUAUCACAUAGAGCAGUCCUCCUCCAUUGGUGACAGAUAAGCUACAAGUAGCCCGUUUGUGAGACCGGAGAAAAUAGCCAUCUAGUACUCUCCUAUGUACUUGAAGAUGAUUGGGUGGAGGGCGAUACAUAGAUACAGACAUCUCUAUGUAUAUGUAUUGUUUCUCUCCUGCAUCUCACGGUCAGCAUUUCACCAAUGCAACACUCUGCUAAAGGGCGUCUGUCAGUAUGUGGCAGCCCUGGGCUGGGAGCUACCUCCCCCGUGCACACCUAGCAGCAGCAGCAGCAGCGAUGUGACACCUGUUACCGCACACACAGCCCAGGCCCUCUCCGGAUAUCUUCAAACGGAUUCCAGUAUACAGAGAAUGCCAGGGCUGAUUCUUGGACCCAGUCUGUCCCUGGCAGAAGCAAUGGGACCCAGGUGGAAAUGGCAUGUGGACAAAGCAAUCAAGGGAGCAAGCAAAGGGAGCAAUCAAGAAGGGGUAGAUUAGUCAUAAUUGAAGAAUGGGAGUAAAGGUGCCAUGCUGGCAUUUGUUUAUCUCCUAGUUAAAAGCAUGUGGGACAGGCUUGCUGGAACCAGUUGUCUGCCACAAUCCCUGAAGGUGCUCCAUGUAGUCUUAAGAUUUGACAAAUGAACAACUGCGCAAGAAUGGGUGCUGAGGGUAAACCCGAUUGAAGAAUAAAAUUAGCCAUUUUCGAGAAAUGGUCUACAACUACCUAAAUUGUA